RNAcentral lists this ribosomal RNA (256 nucleotides) under uncultured bacterium. RNAcentral describes it as "partial 16S ribosomal RNA". It matches the Rfam family "Bacterial small subunit ribosomal RNA", at positions 524 to 776 of the family's 1533-position model. The record is from RNAcentral.
UACGAAGGGGGCUAGCGUUGCUCGGAAUCACUGGGCGUAAAGGGUGCGUAGGCGGUCCAUCGCGUCGGGGAGUGAAAAAGCUGGGGGCUCAACCCCAGUCCUGCUUCCGAUACGGGUGGACUAGAGGUAUGCAGGGGAGAACGGAAUUCCCGGUGUAGUGGUGAAAUGCGUAGAUAUCGGGAGGAACACCAGUGGCGAAGGCGACUACCUGGCCUGUUCUUGACGCUGAGGCGCGAAAGCUAGGGGAGCAAACGGG